GAAGCAUACGAGAGAGAAAUCAGCAAUGAUUCCUAUGUUUCUGGCUUCAACAACUGGGAAAAUGGAGCAACAUACCUUAAUAAAGACAGCCAAAGUCCAAAUACCUCUGUCAACAUUAAGUUGAUAUAAACACAGCAAAUGUGAUGGGAGUGACCAGAUCACAAGGAAGCCAGAUUUUGAGGACAGAUGUCUGGGAGGAAGGAGCAAGAAGACAAAGGGAGGAAAAGCAAAAAGAACAUGGAAUUAGCGGUGAGAUGGACGUGUCUCCGUGUUCUGGCCUCCCAAACCAACAACUAUCAUUCAAAAACCGUCUCAUCCUGGUGACCAGCUUGCCUUUUCCUCACCAUCUUCUUCCCAUGGUCAAGACAUGAGACAGGUCCAUCGAGGAUAAAGUGAAGAACUAAAGUAAGUGAAAGAAGAUGAGAUUUUAGGAGCAA
Molecule: long non-coding RNA, 437 nt
Organism: Balaenoptera musculus (blue whale)
Lineage: Eukaryota; Metazoa; Chordata; Mammalia; Artiodactyla; Balaenopteridae
Exons: 3
Source: RefSeq, a predicted model, not a curated record